Molecule: unclassified non-coding RNA, 400 nt
Filed under: fungal sp.
Lineage: Eukaryota; Fungi
Description: partial internal transcribed spacer region
Rfam family: Eukaryotic small subunit ribosomal RNA (bases 1-46)
Source: RNAcentral
AAGUCGUAAUAAGGUCUCCGUAGGUGAACCUGCGGAGGGAUCAUUAACUUGUAUGAUGAAUUGUGACAGCAAUGUCAUAUUCAUCUAUCAACAACCAAAAACAAAUCAACCCCGUGAAUUUGAGUAUUCAUUUACUCAUUGCCAGCCCCGCAAUUGAACAGCGUAACGGAGCAUUAAGUUGCUGACCAGUGGCGUGUCACCGUUUGGAAUGGCUUGCUUAACGCUUGCCUGGUGUCGCUACCUCGUAUAGUAGAUUCGGACAAAUUUUUAACAACAUAUAACAUAUUUCACCCAUUCGUACAACCAUUGACUGAAACGAAAGGUGUUUUUAACGAAACGCCUACAUUCGAGUUUAUUCGAAAUCUAAGCACAACUCUUAGCAACGGAUAUCUUGGUUCUC